CAUUAGCCGCGGUAAUACCGAGGGUGCAAGCGUUAAUCGGAAUUACUGGGCGUAAAGCGCGCGUAGGUGGUUUGUUAAGUUGGAUGUGAAAUCCCCGGGCUCAACCUGGGAACUGCAUCCAAAACUGGCAGGCUAGAGUAGGGCAGAGGGUGGUGGAAUUUCCUGUGUAGCGGUGAAAUGCGUAGAUAUAGGAAGGAACACCAGUGGCGAAGGCGACCACCUGGGCUCAUACUGACACUGAGGUGCGAAAGCGUGGGGAGCAAACAGGAUUAGAUACCCGGGUAGUCCCUGUCUCUUAUAA
RNAcentral lists this ribosomal RNA (301 nucleotides) under uncultured bacterium. RNAcentral describes it as "partial 16S ribosomal RNA". It matches the Rfam family "Bacterial small subunit ribosomal RNA", at positions 509 to 809 of the family's 1533-position model. The record is from RNAcentral.